Molecule: ribosomal RNA, 198 nt
Filed under: uncultured bacterium
Lineage: Bacteria
Description: partial 16S ribosomal RNA
Rfam family: Bacterial small subunit ribosomal RNA
Source: RNAcentral
ACGCUCGACACCUACUGGAGGCAGCAGUGGGGAAUAUUGCACAAUGGGGGAAACCCUGAUGCAGCGACGCCGCGUGAAGGAAGAAGUAUCUCGGUAUGUAAACUUCUAUCAGCAGGGAAGAAAAUGACGGUACCUGACUAAGAAGCCCCGGCUAACUACGUGCCAGCAGCCGUGGUAAUCUGAGCGGGCUGGCAAGGC